UACGUAGGGGGCAAGCGUUGUCCGGAAUCAUUGGGCGUAAAGAGCGUGUAGGCGGCCCGAUAAGUCCGCUGUGAAAGUCCAGGGCUCAACCCUGGGAUGCCGGUGGAUACUGUCGGGCUCGAGUCCGGAAGAGGAGUGUGGAAUUCCUGGUGUAGCGGUGAAAUGCGCAGAUAUCAGGAGGAACACCGGUGGUGUAGACGGCUCUCUGGACCGUAACUGACACUGAGGCGCGAAAGCGUGGGGAGCGAACAGG
This 253-nucleotide ribosomal RNA is filed under the name uncultured bacterium. RNAcentral's name for it is "partial 16S ribosomal RNA". It matches the Rfam family "Bacterial small subunit ribosomal RNA", at positions 524 to 776 of the family's 1533-position model. The record is from RNAcentral.